UACGUAGGGGGCAAGCGUUGUCCGGAAUCAUUGGGCGUAAAGAGCGUGUAGGCGGUUCGGUAAGUCUGCUGUGAAAGUCCAGGGCUCAACCCUGGAAAGCCGGUGGAUACUGUCGGACUAGAGUGCGGAAGAGGCGAGCGGAAUUCCCGGUGUAGCGGUGAAAUGCGUAGAUAUCGAGAGGAACACCUGCGGCGAAGGCGGGUAGCUGGGCCGACACUGACGCUGAGGCGCGAAAGCCAGGGGAGCGAACGGG
Molecule: ribosomal RNA, 253 nt
Filed under: uncultured bacterium
Lineage: Bacteria
Description: partial 16S ribosomal RNA
Rfam family: Bacterial small subunit ribosomal RNA
Source: RNAcentral